UGACCUCGGAUCAGGUAGNA
Molecule: ribosomal RNA, 20 nt
Filed under: Trichoderma amazonicum
Lineage: Eukaryota; Fungi; Ascomycota; Sordariomycetes; Hypocreales; Hypocreaceae
Description: partial 28S large subunit ribosomal RNA
Source: RNAcentral